Molecule: ribosomal RNA, 726 nt
Filed under: uncultured bacterium
Lineage: Bacteria
Description: bacterial SSU rRNA
Rfam family: Bacterial small subunit ribosomal RNA
Source: RNAcentral
UCGUGCGAGAAAGUAUCUUCGGAUAUGAGUAGAGCGGCGGACGGGUGAGUAACGCGUAGGAAUCUACCUAGUAGAAGGGGAUAGCCCGGGGAAACCCGGAUUAAUACCGUAUACCUCCUUCGGGAGAAAGAAGGCCUCUCUUUGAAGCUUUCGCUACUAGAUGAGCCUGCGUAAGAUUAGCUUGUUGGUGAGGUAAAGGCUCACCAAGGCUACGAUCUUUAGCUGGUCUGAGAGGACGAUCAGCCACAUUGGGACUGAGACACGGCCCAGACUCCUACGGGAGGCAGCAGUGGGGAAUAUUGGACAAUGGGCGCAAGCCUGAUCCAGCCAUACCGCAUGUGUGAAGAAGGCCUUCGGGUUGUAAAGCACUUUAAGCAGGGAGAAAAAGUUAUAAGUUAAUACCUUAUAACCCUGAUGUUACCUGCAGAAUAAGCACCGGCUAAUUCCGUGCCAGCAGCCGCGGUAAUACGGAAGGUGCAAGCGUUAAUCGGAAUUACUGGGCGUAAAGCGCGCGUAGGUGGUUUGUUAAGUUGGAUGUGAAAGCCCUGGGCUCAACCUAGGAACUGCAUCCAAAACUAACUCACUAGAGUACGAUAGAGGGAGGUAGAAUUCAUAGUGUAGCGGUGGAAUGCGUAGAUAUUAUGAAGAAUACCAGUGGCGAAGGCGGCCCCCUGGAUCGAUACUGACGCUGAGGUACGAAAGUGUGGGGAGCAAACAGGAUUAGAU